RNAcentral lists this ribosomal RNA (474 nucleotides) under uncultured organism. Its description in RNAcentral is "partial 16S ribosomal RNA". It matches the Rfam family "Bacterial small subunit ribosomal RNA", at positions 332 to 797 of the family's 1533-position model. The record is from RNAcentral.
UACACUCCUACGGGAGGCAGCAGUGGGGAAUAUUGCACAAUGGGCGCAAGCCUGAUGCAGCCAUGCCGCGUGUAUGAAGAAGGCCUUCGGGUUGUAAAGUACUUUCAGCGGGGAGGAAGGCGAUAAGGUUAAUAACCUUGUUGAUUGACGUUACCCGCAGAAGAAGCACCGGCUAACUCCGUGCCAGCAGCCGCGGUAAUACGGAGGGUGCAAGCGUUAAUCGGAAUUACUGGGCGUAAAGCGCACGCAGGCGGUCUGUCAAGUCGGAUGUGAAAUCCCCGGGCUCAACCUGGGAACUGCAUUCGAAACUGGCAGGCUAGAGUCUUGUAGAGGGGGGUAGAAUUCCAGGUGUAGCGGUGAAAUGCGUAGAGAUCUGGAGGAAUACCGGUGGCGAAGGCGGCCCCCUGGACAAAGACUGACGCUCAGGUGCGAAAGCGUGGGGAGCAAACAGGAUUAGAAACCCGUGUAGUCCCA